RNAcentral lists this ribosomal RNA (253 nucleotides) under uncultured bacterium. RNAcentral describes it as "partial 16S ribosomal RNA". It matches the Rfam family "Bacterial small subunit ribosomal RNA", at positions 524 to 776 of the family's 1533-position model. The record is from RNAcentral.
GACAGAGGAGCCAAGCGUUGUCCGGACUGACUGGGCGUAAAGCGCACGCAGGCGGUGCGGUAAGUGGGGGGUGAAAGCGGUCGGCUCAACCGACCGAGGCCAUCUCAGACUGCCGUACUCGAGCGCUGCAGAGGGUGGUGGAAUUGCCGGUGUAGUGGUGAAAUGCGUAGAUAUCCGGAGGAACACCAGUGGCGAAAGCGGCCACCUGGACUGUACCUGACGCUCAAACGCGAAAGCUAGGGGAGCGAACGGG